This 572-nucleotide ribosomal RNA is filed under the name Lactobacillus delbrueckii subsp. bulgaricus. RNAcentral describes it as "bacterial SSU rRNA". It matches the Rfam family "Bacterial small subunit ribosomal RNA", at positions 245 to 809 of the family's 1533-position model. Lineage: Bacteria; Bacillati; Bacillota; Bacilli; Lactobacillales; Lactobacillaceae. The record is from RNAcentral.
CUAGAUGGUGAGGUAACGGCUCACCAUGGCAAUGAUACGUAGCCGACCUGAGAGGGUAAUCGGCCACAUUGGGACUGAGACACGGCCCAAACUCCUACGGGAGGCAGCAGUAGGGAAUCUUCCACAAUGGACGAAAGUCUGAUGGAGCAACGCCGCGUGAGUGAAGAAGGGUUUCGGCUCGUAAAACUCUGUUGUUAAAGAAGAACAUAUCUGAGAGUAACUGUUCAGGUAUUGACGGUAUUUAACCAGAAAGCCACGGCUAACUACGUGCCAGCAGCCGCGGUAAUACGUAGGUGGCAAGCGUUGUCCGGAUUUAUUGGGCGUAAAGCGAGCGCAGGCGGUUUUUUAAGUCUGAUGUGAAAGCCUUCGGCUCAACCGAAGAAGUGCAUCGGAAACUGGGAAACUUGAGUGCAGAAGAGGACAGUGGAACUCCAUGUGUAGCGGUGAAAUGCGUAGAUAUAUGGAAGAACACCAGUGGCGAAGGCGGCUGUCUGGUCUGUAACUGACGCUGAGGCUCGAAAGUAUGGGUAGCAAACAGGAUUAGAUACCCUGGUAGUCCAUACCGUAAACGA